UCGGGUUGUAAAGCACUUUUGUCCGGAAAGAAAACUUCUGGGUUAAGACCCUGGGAGGCUGACGGUACCGGAAGAAUAAGCACCGGCUUACUACGUGCCAGCAGCCGCGGUAAUACGUAGGGUGCGAGCGUUAAUCGGAAUUACUGGGCGUAAAGCGUGCGCAGGCGGUUUGUUAAGACAGAUGUGAAAUCCCCGGGCUUAAACCUGGGAACUGCAUUUGUGACCGGCGAGCUUAGAGUAUGGCAGAGGGGGGUAGAAAUACCACGUGUAGCAGUGAAAUGCGUAGAGAUGUGGAGGAAUACCGAUGGCGAAGGCAGCCCCCUGGGCCCAAUACUGACGCUCAUGCACGAAAGCGUGGGGAGCAAACAGGAUUAGAUACCCUGGUAGUCCACGCCCUAAACGAUGUCAACUAGUUGUUGGGUCUUCAUUGACUUAGUAACGUAGCUAACGCGUGAAGUUGACCGCCUGGGGAGUACGGUCGCAAGAUUAAAACUCAAAGGAAUUGACGGGGACCCGCACAAGCGGUGGAUGAUGUGGAUUAAUUCGAUGCGACGCGAAAAACCUUACCUACCCUUGACAUGGUCGGAACCCUGCUG
RNAcentral lists this ribosomal RNA (596 nucleotides) under uncultured Burkholderia sp. RNAcentral describes it as "bacterial SSU rRNA". It matches the Rfam family "Bacterial small subunit ribosomal RNA", at positions 418 to 1003 of the family's 1533-position model. The record is from RNAcentral. Lineage: Bacteria; Pseudomonadati; Pseudomonadota; Betaproteobacteria; Burkholderiales; Burkholderiaceae.